Molecule: non-coding RNA, 31 nt
Filed under: Rattus norvegicus (Norway rat)
Lineage: Eukaryota; Metazoa; Chordata; Mammalia; Rodentia; Muridae
Source: RNAcentral
UUCUCACCCUGGGAACCCGUUUUGGGGCAGU